Long non-coding RNA from Mytilus californianus (California mussel), 254 nucleotides. RefSeq lists it as uncharacterized. The record is from RefSeq and is a predicted model, not a curated record. The transcript is spliced from 3 exons. Lineage: Eukaryota; Metazoa; Mollusca; Bivalvia; Mytilida; Mytilidae.
CCCACAUAUUGAUCACGUGACAUACAUUUUUUUUUUCAUUUUACGUCCCUGGCAGAGUUCUUGGAGUACUAUGAACUUACAGUCGUCUAACUUUGUAUUCAAAUGCAUUUAGGAUAGCCAGACAUUCUUACAACUCCAUCAUAUAGACUUUCAACAAUGGUAGACACAGUGUAUACAGAGGAACUGAACAACUGAACAGAGCAGAACAGUAUUCAAUGACCUUGAAGAGCCAUUAAUGUGUACAGUGAAACAGC